AUGUCUACUAACUCUAAUUUUUCUAAGAUUUCAUUCACUUCUCUUACCUCUUUCUUAUUUAUUUUUUGGUUUGAUUUAUCUAGUUCAGAUAGAGGAAGGUUCAGGUCUCCCACUAAUAUUGUUUUUCUAUCUAUUUCAUCCUUGAGCUCCACUAGUUUCUCCUUUAGAAAUUUAGAUGCUAUGCCAUUUGGUGCAUACAUGUCGAGUACAGAUAUUUCCUCAUUGUCUAUACUGUCUUUUAUCAGGACACUGUUCCCUCUAAGUGUAAUUCUUCUAGCUGCCCAGGUGAUAACAACAGUUUUUGAGUUACCAAUGACCUCUUUUCUUAUAGGGAUACAUAUCAUUUUAACUCAUUGAGUCUCUUAAAAUUUGUUUUGUUUUUCUUUUUUCCCUCUUUUUAAAUUACCUUUUUAUGAUUCUCUUGAGUUCUGUGCUUGGGUAUCAAAUUUUCUAUUCAGGUCUGGUCUUUUCUUUGCAAAUUCUUAGAAUUCUUCUAUUUUGUUGAAUGACCAUACUUUCCCCUGUAAGAAUAUAGUCAGUUUUGCUGGGUAGUUGAUUCUUGGUUGUAGACCUAGUUUCCUUGCUUUCUGGAAUAUCAUAUUCCAUGCCUUUCGGUCCUUCAGUGUGGAUGCAGCCGGAUCAUGCAUUAUCCUCACUGGGGUUCCAUGGUAUAUGAAUGACUUCUUCUUGGCAGCUUGUAAUAUCUUUUCUUUGGUCUAAUAGUUCUUGAAUUUAGCUAUAACAUUCCUGGGUGUUGUCAGUUGGGGAUUAAGUACAGGAGGUGAUCUGUGGAUUCUUUCAAUCUCCACUUUUCCCUCUUGUUCUAGAGUAUCGGGGCAGUUUUCUUGAAUAAUUUCCUGUAGUAUUGUGUCCAGGCUUUUUCUUUUGUCAUGGUCUUCUAGUAGACUAAUGAUUCUUAAAUUGUCUCUCCUCAACCAAUUUUCUAAACCCUGUUUUGUGAAUGAGAUGCUUCAUAUUUUCCUCAAUUUUUUCAUUCUUUUGGUUUUGUUUUAUAGUUUCCUGCUGCCUUGUGAGGUCACUUAAUUCUAGUUGUUGUAUUCUGGUUCUUAAAAACUGGAUUUCAUCCCUGGAUUUUUGGUCAUCCUUCUCUUUCUGGUCAUCUUUCAUCCUCUUUGCUUCAUCUUUCAUUUCCUUUGCCUCAUUUUCCAGCUGAUUGAUUUUGGCUUUCAAGACACUGUUUUCUGUUUCCAGAUGACUUAUUUUGCUGUUAAAGUUGUCUUCAACCUCUCUUAACUGUGUUUUGAAUUACAUUUUGAGUUCUUCCACAGCCUGUAUCCAAUUUGCCGGGAUUUCUGAUUUAUCGUUUGCUGAACCCUCCCCCUCUGUCCUGUUCGUU
Molecule: long non-coding RNA, 1357 nt
Filed under: Monodelphis domestica (gray short-tailed opossum)
Lineage: Eukaryota; Metazoa; Chordata; Mammalia; Didelphimorphia; Didelphidae
Description: lncRNA (ENSMODG00000043902.1)
Source: RNAcentral